UACAGAGGGGGCAAGCGUUGUUCGGAAUUACUGGGCGUAAAGGGCGCGUAGGCGGCCUUCUAAGUCAGACGUGAAAUCCCCAGGCUCAACUUGGGAACUGCGUCUGAUACUGGAUGGCUUGAAUUCGGGGAGAGGGAUGCAGAAUUCCAGGUGUAGCGGUGAAAUGCGUAGAUAUCUGGAGGAAUACCGGUGGCGAAGGCGGCAUCCUGGACCGACAUUGACGCUGAUGAGCGAAAGCUAGGGGAGCAAACGGG
Molecule: ribosomal RNA, 254 nt
Filed under: uncultured bacterium
Lineage: Bacteria
Description: partial 16S ribosomal RNA
Rfam family: Bacterial small subunit ribosomal RNA
Source: RNAcentral